AAUUAACCUCUUACUGUUAUUAAUCUUAGCUAUAUUUCUAUUUGUAUCUUACUUUUAAUUUAUAUGAGUUAAGCAAGAUUUUAAAGAAUAUAAAGGUGAAGCUUCUAUGUAAUCAUGGAAGUAUUGAAGAUGAAGGUUGAACCUUUUUCUGAUGAGAAGCAGGAUGAUUUAUUGAAUAUCAAAUUGAUGAAAAAGGAAGAUGAAACUUUCACAAUAACUAAUAAACAUAUCUGAUCAAGUGAAAAUGGAACACCUUGGUGAUCUGCUACAAGAUGAUGUUAUUUCAAAGUUCAGUUACAGUGAUGAUGAGGAUCAGAAUAGUUCACACUAUAAUGUUAUGAAUGUGAAAACAGAAACUGAAUCUGAGUUAGAAAGAACAUCUGGUAAGUAUAUACAUCACUUAAAACUUAAGUUCAUUGACACUGGCUCAACUUUUAUGACACAGACAUGGAUGUGAAAGUGACCUUCUAGCCCUAAAGUGAACAUAAGAGUUUCUAUUCUGUAACUUUUGAUAUGUUUAGUAUCUUUAUGAAAUUCAGUAAACAUUACUAGCCUUUUGUGCACAAAAAAUCAGAUAUUUUAAUUAAG
This is a long non-coding RNA of Limulus polyphemus (Atlantic horseshoe crab), 588 nucleotides long. RefSeq lists it as uncharacterized. The record is from RefSeq and is a predicted model, not a curated record. Lineage: Eukaryota; Metazoa; Arthropoda; Merostomata; Xiphosura; Limulidae. The transcript is spliced from 3 exons.